GACGAACGCUGGCGGCGUGCUUAACACAUGCAAGUCGAACGGAAAGGCCCUGCUUUUGUGGGGUGCUCGAGUGGCGAACGGGUGCGUAACACGUGAGUAACCUGCCCUUGACUUUGGGAUAACUUCAGGAAACUGGGGCUACUACCGGAUAGGAGCUCCUGCUGCAUGGUGGGGGUUGGAAAGUUUCGGCGGUUGGGGAUGGACUCGCGGCCUAUCAGUUUGUUGGUGGGGUAGUGGCUUACCAAGGCUUUGACGGGUAGCCGGCCUGAGAGGGUGACCGGCCACAUUGGGACUGAGAUACGGCCCAGACUCCUACGGGAGGCAGCAGUGGGGAAUAUUGCACAAUGGGCGGAAGCCUGAUGCAGCAACGCCGUGUGCGGGAUGACGGCCUUCGGGUUGUAAACCGCUUUCGCCUGUGACGAAGCGUGAGUGACGGUAAUGGGUAAAGAAGCACCGGCUAACUACGUG
Molecule: ribosomal RNA, 468 nt
Filed under: uncultured bacterium
Lineage: Bacteria
Description: partial 16S ribosomal RNA
Rfam family: Bacterial small subunit ribosomal RNA
Source: RNAcentral